GCUUCUCUUGAGAGCGGCGGACGGGUGAGUAAUGCCUAGGAAUCUGCCUAGUGGUGGGGGAUAACGUUCGGAAACGGACGCUAAUACCGCAUACGUCCUACGGGAGAAAGCGGGGGAUCUUCGGACCUCGCGCCAUUAGAUGAGCCUAGGUCGGAUUAGCUAGUUGGUGAGGUAAUGGCUCACCAAGGCGACGAUCCGUAACUGGUCUGAGAGGAUGAUCAGUCACACUGGAACUGAGACACGGUCCAGACUCCUACGGGAGGCAGCAGUGGGGAAUAUUGGACAAUGGGCGAAAGCCUGAUCCAGCCAUGCCGCGUGUGUGAAGAAGGUCUUCGGAUUGUAAAGCACUUUAAGUUGGGAGGAAGGGUAGUAACUUAAUACGUUGCUACUUUGACGUUACCGACAGAAUAAGCACCGGCUAACUUCGUGCCAGCAGCCGCGGUAAUACGAAGGGUGCAAGCGUUAAUCGGAAUUACUGGGCGUAAAGCGCGCGUAGGUGGUUCAGUAAGUUGGAAGUGAAAUCCCCGGGCUCAACCUGGGAACUGCUUUCAAAACUGCUGAGCUAGAGUACGGUAGAGGGUGGUGGAAUUUCCUGUGUAGCGGUGAAAUGCGUAGAUAUAGGAAGGAACACCAGUGGCAAAGGCGACCACCUGGACUGAUACUGACACUGAGGUGCGAAAGCGUGGGGAGCAAACAGGAUUAGAUACCCUGGUAGUCCACGCCGUAAACGAUGUCAACUAGCCGUUGGAAUCCUUGAGAUUUUAGUGGCGCAGCUAACGCAUUAAGUUGACCGC
This 794-nucleotide ribosomal RNA is filed under the name uncultured bacterium. RNAcentral describes it as "bacterial SSU rRNA". It matches the Rfam family "Bacterial small subunit ribosomal RNA", at positions 82 to 872 of the family's 1533-position model. The record is from RNAcentral.